AACGAACGCUGGCGGCAUGCCUAACACAUGCAAGUCGAACGAGACCUUCGGUCUAGUGGCGCACGGGUGCGUAACGCGUGGGAAUCUGCCCUUGGGUUCGGAAUAACAGUUAGAAAUGACUGCUAAUACCGGAUAAUGUCUUCGGACCAAAGAUUUAUCGCCCAGGGAUGAGCCCGCGUAGGAUUAGCUAGUUGGUGAGGUAAAGGCUCACCAAGGCGACGAUCCUUAGCUGGUCUGAGAGGAUGAUCAGCCACACUGGGACUGAGACACGGCCCAGACUCCUACGGGAGGCAGCAGUGGGGAAUAUUGGACAAUGGCGAAAGCCUGAUCCAGCAAAUGCCGCGUGAGUGAUGAAGGCCUUAGGGUUGUAAAGCUCUUUUACCCGGGUAUGAUAAUGACAGUACCGGGAGAAUAAAG
Molecule: ribosomal RNA, 417 nt
Filed under: uncultured bacterium
Lineage: Bacteria
Description: bacterial SSU rRNA
Rfam family: Bacterial small subunit ribosomal RNA
Source: RNAcentral